Molecule: ribosomal RNA, 253 nt
Filed under: uncultured bacterium
Lineage: Bacteria
Description: partial 16S ribosomal RNA
Rfam family: Bacterial small subunit ribosomal RNA
Source: RNAcentral
UACAGAGGUGGCAAGCGUUGUUCGGAAUUACUGGGCUUAAAGAGUUCGUAGGCGGCAUGGUAAGUAGGGUGUGAAAUCCCUCGGCUCAACCGAGGAAUUGCGCUCUAAACUACCGUGCUAGAGGAAGCUAGAGGUGAGCGGAACUGAUGGUGGAGCGGUGAAAUGCGUUGAUAUCAUCAGGAACACCGGAGGCGAAGGCGGCUCACUGGGGCUUUUCUGACGCUGAGGAACGAAAGCCAGGGUAGCGAACGGG